Callithrix jacchus (white-tufted-ear marmoset) is the source of this 95-nucleotide small nucleolar RNA. The record is from Ensembl. NCBI's taxonomy places the organism in Eukaryota, Metazoa, Chordata, Mammalia, Primates, Cebidae.
UUUCUUUUGUAGUUCAUAAGCAUGAUGAUUGGGUUUUCAUGCUUGUCUGUGAGAUGUGCCUCCCUCAAAUCUGUUGGUACAUUAGCCAUCUGACA